UGAUAAAUUAAGAAUUAGCAAUAUACAGAAAUAUAUAUGAAACCAAAAUAACUAAUGAAAGAAAAGGUGCCUGUAAUCCCAGCACUUUGGGAGGCAGAGGCAGGCAGAUCAUUUGAAUCCUGGAGUUUGAGACCAGUAGUGAGACCUCAUCUCUACAAAAAAAACCCAGAAAAAUUAGCUGGGUGUAGCGGUGCAUGCCUGUAUUUCCAGCUACUUCAGAGGCUGAGGCAGGAGAAUCAGUUGAGCCCAGAAGGUGGAAGCUACAGUGAGCCAACAGAGUGAGACCAGCUCAAAAAAAAAAAAAAAAAAAAAAAAAAAAGAAGAAGAAAGGAAGGGAAGGGAGGGAGGGAAGGAGAGGGGUGGGAGGGGGAGGAGGAAGAGGAGGAGGAGAGAGGGAGGGAGAGGAGAAGGAUAAAAUGUUACAAGUGGUUGUUACUAGGAAUGGGGAGAAGAGAAGUGGGUAAUGGCACUGAAGCUUUUUAUUAUGUCUUUCAGCAUUCUUAAACCAUCAACAGAUCUGAGUAUGUAGACUAAAAGGGAAUAUUUGGCGAAGAGAUCUUUUUUUCACUAUGUACACUUGCUAUGGACAUGUUCAUGCCUGCUGCCUGGCAGGCACCAUUCAUUAAGUAGGCCCCUGUUGCCAGGGAAACCAGCUCUUCACUGAUACCAAAGAUAAUGCAGAAGCCUGCUGCUCACCAAGCAACCUUCCUCAUGAGCUAUUUCCUCAUGAGCUAUGACCUCACCUUUCUGAACUGUCUCUUGCCCCUGUGUGAUACUGUCCUGCUGCACAAAGCUUACACUUGCUAUCUCUCACUUCCUUCUUAGUCACCUGUGAUGCUGGCUAAGGGAGCUAGGCCAGUCAGCAGUGACCUGUUGCCCUUGGUUUAUUAUAAGCAACCUGUUCACAAGAAAUGAUCUUCUGUUGUUUUAUAAAUUAUAUGCAUCACAGCACACAGAAUAACAUCAAAACCACAUUAGUUUUUUCAUACUUUCUUCACUGACCCCAGGGGAAGAGGGGAGAGCAGGGAGAGGACUUUCUCUUUUUUCAAAUACUAAUUUUGUUGAGGUAUAAAGAACAUAUAGCAAGUUCACAGACCUUAAGUAUACAGUUUGAUGAGUUUUGGCAAAUAUAUAUACCUGUGGAACCAACAUCCCAGUCAAGAUAUAAAUACUUACAUCAGCUGGGCACGGUGGCUCAUAACUGUAAUCCUAGCACUUUUGGAGGCCAAGGCAGGCAGAUCAUGAGGUCAGGAGAUCAAGGCCAUCCUGGCUGUCUACUAAAAAUACAAAAAAUUAACUGGGAGUGGCAGUAGGCACCUGUAAUCACAGCUACUUGGGAGGCUGAGGCAGGAAAAUCUCUUGAACCCGGGAGGCAGAGGUUGCAUUGAGCUGAGAUAGCCCCACUGCACUCCAGCUCGGGCAACAGAGCGAGACUCCGUCUCACAAAAAAAAAAAAAAAAAAAAAAAAAA
This 1470-nucleotide long non-coding RNA is filed under the name Macaca fascicularis (crab-eating macaque). RNAcentral's name for it is "lncRNA (ENSMFAG00000056362.1)". The record is from RNAcentral. Lineage: Eukaryota; Metazoa; Chordata; Mammalia; Primates; Cercopithecidae.